RNAcentral lists this ribosomal RNA (420 nucleotides) under bacterium. Its description in RNAcentral is "partial 16S ribosomal RNA". It matches the Rfam family "Bacterial small subunit ribosomal RNA", at positions 355 to 776 of the family's 1533-position model. The record is from RNAcentral.
UGGGGGAUAUUGCACAAUGGGCGAAAGCCUGAUGCAGCGACGCCGCGUGGGGGAUGAUGGCUUUCGGGUUGUAAACCUCUUUCGCUAUCGAACAAGGCCCGCUUAGGGUGGGUUGAGGGUAGGUGGAGAAGAAGCGCCGGCUAACUACGUGCCAGCAGCCGCGGUAAUACGUAGGGCGCGAGCGUUGUCCGGAAUUAUUGGGCGUAAAGGGCUUGUAGGCGGCUUGUUGCGCCUGCUGUGAAAACGCGGGGCUUAACUUCGCGCGUGCAGUGGGUACGGGCAGGCUUGAGUGUGGUAGGGGUGACUGGAAUUACAGGUGUAGCGGUGGAAUGCGCAGAUAUCUGGAGGAACACCGAUGGCGAAGGCAGGUCACUGGGCCAUUACUGACGCUGAGGAGCGAAAGCAUGGGUAGCGAACAGG